This 467-nucleotide ribosomal RNA is filed under the name uncultured bacterium. Its description in RNAcentral is "bacterial SSU rRNA". It matches the Rfam family "Bacterial small subunit ribosomal RNA", at positions 330 to 795 of the family's 1533-position model. The record is from RNAcentral.
UCCAGACUCCUACGGGAGGCAGCAGUGAGGAAUAUUGGUCAAUGGCCGAGAGGCUGAACCAGCCAAGUCGCGUGAGGGAAGACGGCCCUACGGGUUGUAAACCUCUUUUGUCGGGGAGCAAAGCGAGUCACGUGUGACUCAUUGAGAGUACCCGAAGAAAAAGCAUCGGCUAACUCCGUGCCAGCAGCCGCGGUAAUACGGAGGAUGCGAGCGUUAUCCGGAUUUAUUGGGUUUAAAGGGUGCGUAGGCGGAUUUGUAAGUCAGCGGUAAAAAUGCGGUGCUCAACGCCGUAUCGCCGUUGAAACUGCAGGUCUUGAGUGAGCGAGAAGUAUGCGGAAUGCGUGGUGUAGCGGUGAAAUGCAUAGAUAUCACGCAGAACUCCGAUUGCGAAGGCAGCAUACCGGCGCCCAACUGACGCUGAAGCGCGAAAGCGUGGGUAUCGAACAGGAUUAGAUACCCUUGUAUUC